AUCCCAGACUCCUACGGGAGGCAGCAGUGAGGAAUAUUGGUCAAUGGUCGGGAGACUGAACCAGCCAAGCCGCGUGAGGGAUGAAGGUACAGAGUAUCGUAAACCUCUUUUGUCAGGGAACAAAGGCGGGGACGUGUCCCCGGAUGAGUGUACCUGAAGAAAAAGCAUCGGCUAACUCCGUGCCAGCAGCCGCGGUAAUACGGAGGAUGCGAGCGUUAUCCGGAUUUAUUGGGUUUAAAGGGUGCGCAGGCGGUCGUUAAAGGCGGGGGUGAAACCGCGGGCCCCCCCCCCCGCCCGCCGUUGAAACUGGCAGUCUCGAGUUGGAGAGAAGUAUGCGGAAUGCGCGGUGUAGCGGUGAAAUGCAUAGAUAUCGCGCAGAACUCCGAUUGCGAAGGCAGCAUGCCGGCUCCACACUGACGCUGAGGCACGAAAGCGUGGGUAUCGAACAGGAUUAGAUACCCCCGUAAAG
Molecule: ribosomal RNA, 469 nt
Filed under: uncultured bacterium
Lineage: Bacteria
Description: partial 16S ribosomal RNA
Rfam family: Bacterial small subunit ribosomal RNA
Source: RNAcentral